Molecule: non-coding RNA, 31 nt
Filed under: Mus musculus (house mouse)
Lineage: Eukaryota; Metazoa; Chordata; Mammalia; Rodentia; Muridae
Source: RNAcentral
UGCCAUGAUUCCAAGCAACCCUCUGUGCCUC